Molecule: ribosomal RNA, 566 nt
Filed under: uncultured Glomeromycotina
Lineage: Eukaryota; Fungi; Glomeromycota
Description: SSU rRNA
Rfam family: Eukaryotic small subunit ribosomal RNA
Source: RNAcentral
UUGGAGGGCAAGUCUGGUGCCAGCAGCCGCGGUAAUUCCAGCUCCAAUAGCGUAUAUUAAAGUUGUUGCAGUUAAAAAGCUCGUAGUUGAAUUUCGGGAUCAAUGUUUCGGUCAUGCCGUUGGUAUGUACUGAUAUUAUUGAUUUCUCACCUUCUAAAGAACCGUAAUGCCAUUAAUUUGGUGUCACGGGGAAUUAGGACUGUUACCUUGAAAAAAUUAGAGUGUUUAAAGCAGGCUCACGCUUGAAUACAUUAGCAUGGAAUAAUGAAAUAGGACAUCCGAUUCUAUUUUGUUGGUUUCUAGGAUCGAUGUAAUGAUUAAUAGGGAUAGUUGGGGGCAUUAGUAUUCAAUUGUCAGAGGUGAAAUUCUUGGAUUUAUUGAAGACUAACUACUGCGAAAGCAUUUGCCAAGGAUGUUUUCAUUAAUCAAGAACGAAAGUUAGGGGAUCGAAGACGAUCAGAUACCGUCGUAGUCUUAACCAUAAACUAUGCCGACUAGGGAUCGGAUGAUGUUAAUUUUUUAAUGACUCAAACGGCGCCUUACGGGAAACCAAAGUGUUUGGGUUC